This is a long non-coding RNA of Amborella trichopoda, 1294 nucleotides long. RefSeq lists it as uncharacterized. The record is from RefSeq and is a predicted model, not a curated record. NCBI's taxonomy places the organism in Eukaryota, Viridiplantae, Streptophyta, Magnoliopsida, Amborellales, Amborellaceae.
UUGUUCACAACUUUCAUAAGCUCUUCUUCGAUACAUCUUCGAUGGGUCAAGGCCUUGAAUCACUAUUUGAAUACUGCUCAACUCCGCCUAUAAUACGGCCUUACAAAACCAUCGUGCAAAAACUACUUACCAUCCACCAUCUUCCAGCGAAACCAUCUCCGAUCUCAGAAAGCCACUUGUCUCUCUCUAGAUCGGGAAAAGAGGAACAUUCAUGUUCAUCUUCUCUCUCUCUAGCAGCUUGUAAAAGCCCGAGAGGUCAUUUUCUCUCUGUGCUCUUUGAUUCUCAGAUAGCCAGGCAAUAGAGGACCCUUUGAUUCCACCUGCGAGCACGAGCACGAGCACAGGCGGGCAGAAGACUCUUAUGAGAAGAUCCGAUGCCAUUGCUUAUGGUACACCAUAUCAGAAGGCUGCAGCUCUUGUUGAUCUGACUGAGGAUGGAAUCGGCUUACCAGUAGAGGUUCUUGAGGGUACAAGAUUUGAGAAGAGGCCUGUUGAUUUGCUGUUAUGCGAGACGUCUCUGUUCGAGGGGUCGGUUUCUGAGGAUGGCUAAUUUGUAGUUGCUCAAGCCUAUUAUGUUCCUACUCUGCCUUCAGUUAUCCAAACUCAAGUUGCUCUCUCUUAACUCAUCUUGAGUUUGAGAGGGUGUGUGGAAAUUAUAGAAAGCUACACCUAUUUUUUGGUACAAUAUUCUAUUUCCUUUUAUAUAUACCCAUAUUAGGAAGGUAAUUUAUUGAAUAUGUUACUUUUUUUAGUAGUAUACAGCUUUGUAACCCUAUAAAUUAGGGCUUUUGUUCACAACUUCGAUAAGCUCUGAAAUACAUCUUUCAUGGGGGCUUAAGACCCAAAUAUGCAUAAAUACAUUUUCUCACACAGCCUGCUAAAGAAAAAGCCCAAUACUGUGGCAAUACUGUGGUAAAAACUUGAUGAAGGAAAAGCCAAGCGUCCACAAUCCAUUUCUACAGUUCUUUUAUGAAGAUUGGCUGUCUAAGGACGAAUGAUCAACAGGAAAAUAUACAGUAGUUUCCACGAGUAUUGUUGGGAGUAAUCACACCAACAAUUCAUAUUCAUUCCACCACCUGAUAUUAUCAACAAAUCAUGGCGAUGAGUCGUUGUCUGUGUAUUUAGUCCACAAGAACAAUGCUUUUCACAACUAAUUUUCAAGUACAACGCCUAAGUGUAGUUGAUAAUGCAUAUUAAAAUGUAGUAUCCUGUAUCAUUGUCAUUGGGAGUGUUGAAUGUGUUCUCAUGGUUAUCAUGAUGUUCAUCGCUGAAUAAUUGAAGUAAACCUUUACCA